UAAUUUGGGAGGUUUAGGGCUCCAUCUUCAGAGUCACUCAGGCUCUCCCUGGGAAGGAGGGAUUGAAGAGUCAGGGAGCGGAAUGUCAGGAAUUACCCUGCAGGUGCCCGGGUGUAGGAGGAGCCACUUCCUGCCCCUCCCAGAACCAGGGCUCACCCUCAGCCUGGUCAGGCCAGAGCCUAUAAAACACAUCUCAGGCACCCGCUCCUCAUCCACCCUGAACCUCGGGGACUGCCUGUCCAGAUCUGGAUCUGAGCAGCCUCUCUGAGACUCACCUGGGAGGGGCGCUGUGAGGUCACCAAGGUGCUGGAUGAUACGGCUCCCCAGGGAGCGGAUUGAAUUGCCAAGUGGAUGGAGAAGAAAUACCGAAAAUACCAGGAGAAGAUUAAUACCUUGAAGAUUCAUCAGCCAAGUGUGAAUUAUUGACUUCAGUUUACCUCUGAGGAUGAGCUUGUGGUUGUCCCUGUGGGGCCAACAGGACAGAGGAGAGAAGUUCUGAGAGGGUGGUUGGGAGGGGCCACAAGGGAGUCACUCACAGCUGAGCUGCCUGAGAAGAUGGAUCUGGGAGAAACUGAGGAAGCCUCUGACGAACAUGCGCUUGGCAGCCCCUUGCUCUGAAGCCCUGAUGAGGAGGUUGGUGUCAAAGUCUCAUCUUAAAGAGUGAGCGAAUUUGGAGGAGGCCUUUGUCUCAAAAGUCCAACUCUGCUCAACCUGCACCUCAGGAGAAGACAGGGAGGAGUGGGGGCCAUUCCCCUGCAGUGGAGGAAAUCUAAGUAGAGGUCAUUAGAAAUAAGACCCAAGAGAAGGAAGAGAGGAUGACAGUGACCGGAACACACUGGGAAUGUGAAAUGACAGUUUCAUUCUAACCUGAUUUCCAGACAGACCUUUGGAGAACACCCGGGGAAACAGAAACCUCUCCCUGGUAACCGCUGGGUCCCCACAAGGCUGUAGCGCCAGGAGAACAGGAGAGAAGGAGGCUCCCCGAGGCUGGGGAGGCCCGUGAUCUUGCAUUGUGGUUCCUCAGAGCCGUGGACCGUAUCAGCCACAGCCCGGACUGCUGACCACCCCCCCAGUGGUGGGAGCUCCGGGAGCCUGGGGACUCAGGCUGUGCUGCCCCAGUGCUGGGGUCUCCCAGGAAGAGACUGGAGGUGAAUGUGAGCUGGCCCCUGGGCUGGCGCUGUAGGGGCAUUUGAGGGCCCUGGCAUUGCUGGUGGUGUUUGGCAAGGUAUCUCAGCCUGAGGGUGAAUUAAAUGAGACAGAUGCAUCAAACCUGA
Molecule: long non-coding RNA, 1274 nt
Filed under: Equus caballus (horse)
Lineage: Eukaryota; Metazoa; Chordata; Mammalia; Perissodactyla; Equidae
Description: lncRNA (ENSECAG00000057646.1)
Source: RNAcentral